UGCAAAAAUGUCAUGCACUGGAAACCUAUUAAGUAAUCUGAUUGCCUGUAUGCCUUCAUUGUGSAAGAACCUGAAGAACAUCACUUGGUGUCAGAAGUGUGGAGUAAGAAUGAAUUCAAGAAGACUUCAGAAAAGGUCACAGAAAAUAAAGGAGAACAAAAACGAAAGAAGAACUGAAACAGCUCCAGGCUUCUUAUACAGGAUCAUCAAAUGUGUAGGACAAAUAUGCAGAACUAUUGGAAGCUGAAGAGCUGAAUUUGAGAAGAGAGUAUGACCGUAUCUUCACCGGUAUGU
This 294-nucleotide long non-coding RNA is filed under the name Dromaius novaehollandiae (emu). Its description in RNAcentral is "lncRNA (ENSDNVG00000010546.1)". The record is from RNAcentral. Lineage: Eukaryota; Metazoa; Chordata; Aves; Casuariiformes; Dromaiidae.